Oncorhynchus masou masou (cherry salmon) is the source of this 648-nucleotide long non-coding RNA. RefSeq lists it as uncharacterized. Lineage: Eukaryota; Metazoa; Chordata; Actinopteri; Salmoniformes; Salmonidae. The record is from RefSeq and is a predicted model, not a curated record. The transcript is spliced from 2 exons.
CUUAACUAGACUGUAUCACUGUGGUUCACGUUUGGUGGAGGGACCAAACUGCUGCUGAGAACUGGUCCUACUGUCAGUCCUACAGUGUCUCUGCUCCCCCCCUCAUCUGAGCAGCUCUCUGGGGACUCUGCCUCACUGGCCUGUCUGCUGACUGACUACUCCCCUCAGGGGGCGCUGGUGAGCUGGGAGGUGGAUGGGCUGGAGGUGAGCCAGGGGGUCGUGACCAGUCCAGAAGAAGAGAAGAAAGGCCUUUACAGACGCAGCAGCAUCCUGACCCUGAGCAAGGCAGGCUGGGAGCAGGGAGAGCUCUACACCUGCAGGGUCUCCCACUUCCAACACACCCAGGCCUCCCCCCUUCGUAGGAGCCAGUGUCUGGUCUAGGGCCUACUGGAGGAGGCCCACAACAGGAGCUCUGUCUGGGGAAGCAGGAGUAGACGAGGCUCUGGUCUGGUCUGGGGCCUGGUUGGAGCAGUAGUAGUGUGUUAGAGUCGUGUACUGAGUAAACUCUAGUACUGCUGGGGAGACCACAGUCCUGGUAGUAAUGUGUAUUGUAUAGAUUACAGGAGACUUCAAUGUGUUCUGUACUCAGACUGUUACUGUGAUGUUGCUGUCUGUCUCAGUUCUAAUAAAGUUGGAUUUGGAAAAUAA